This 610-nucleotide ribosomal RNA is filed under the name uncultured bacterium. RNAcentral's name for it is "bacterial SSU rRNA". The stretch from base 1 to 516 matches the Rfam family "Bacterial small subunit ribosomal RNA", at positions 338 to 873 of the family's 1533-position model. The record is from RNAcentral.
CCUACGGGAGGCAGCAGUGGGGAAUCUUGCGCAAUGGGCGAAAGCCUGACGCAGCCAUGCCGCGUGAAUGAUGAAGGUCUUAGGAUUGUAAAAUUCUUUCACCGAGGACGAUAAUGACGGUACUCGGAGAAGAAGCCCCGGCUAACUUCGUGCCAGCAGCCGCGGUAAUACGAAGGGGGCUAGCGUUGCUCGGAAUUACUGGGCGUAAAGGGAGCGUAGGCGGAUAGUUUAGUCAGAGGUGAAAGCCCAGGGCUCAACCUUGGAAUUGCCUUUGAUACUGGCUAUCUUGAGUACGGAAGAGGUAUGUGGAACUCCGAGUGUAGAGGUGAAAUUCGUAGAUAUUCGGAAGAACACCAGUGGCGAAGGCGACAUACUGGUCCGUUACUGACGCUGAGGCUCGAAAGCGUGGGGAGCAAACAGGAUUAGAUACCCUGGUAGUCCACGCUGUAAACGAUGAGUGCUAGUUGUCGGCAUGCAUGCAUGUCGGUGACGCAGCUACGCAUAAGACACUCCGCCGUCGGGGUAGGUACGGUCGGCGAGAAUUAAACUACAAUAGUAAGUUAGUACGGCGUGAGACGUGACCGACGGACGACGACGAGGGAGGUUAGGG